UCAUAAUUUUUCCAAUCUGCUGUUCGUUGUCCACUUGCUUUCCCAAUGCGUGAAGAUUAUUCACAAUGUGUGUGAAUCUGGUUUGCAGAUCGCUGAUGGAUUCGUCCUUUUUCAUGCUGAAUAAUUCGUAUUCGUGCAUAAGUGUGUUUACGCGAGCUCUCUUCACAUUUGUGGUUCCUUCAUGUGUUUCUUGAAGAAUGUCCCACAUUUCUUUUGGUUACUUGCAGUUUGAUACUCUAAAGAAUUCUUCUGCACAAAGAGCAGAUGUUAUAAUGUUCUUAGCCUUAGCAUUAUAACCUACCUUUUUUUUGUCGUCAUCAGACCAGUCGGCUCUAGGCUUGAGAAUCAUUGAGUCAUUUGUUCCUGCAAUCUUGGGAAUAUAUGGACCGUUUUCAACAGCGUCAAGGAUGUCUAUGCCACUGGCUUCCAGGAAUAUCAGCA
This 441-nucleotide long non-coding RNA is filed under the name Cicer arietinum (chickpea). Its description in RNAcentral is "long non-coding RNA (CARI_LNC003674)". The record is from RNAcentral. Lineage: Eukaryota; Viridiplantae; Streptophyta; Magnoliopsida; Fabales; Fabaceae.